UGGGGAACAUUGCACAAUGGGGGAAACCCUGAUGCAGCAACGCCGCGUGAGUGAUGACGGCCUUCGGGUUGUAAAGCUCUGUCUUCAGGGACGAUAAUGACGGUACCUGAGGAGGAAGCCACGGCUAACUACGUGCCAGCAGCCGCGGUAAUACGUAGGCAGCGAGCGUUGUUCGGAGUUACUGGGCGUAAAGAGUGCGUAGGCGGCGAGCCAAGUUUGGUGUGAAAUCUCCCGGCUUAACCGGGAGGGUGCGCCGAAAACUGGUUGGCUGGAGUAUGGGAGAGGAAAGCGGAAUUCCUGGUGUAGCGGUGAAAUGCGUAGAUAUCAGGAGGAACACCUGCGGUGUAGACAGCUUUCUGGACAAAACUGACGCUGAGGCACGAAAGCGUGGGUAGCAAACA
This 401-nucleotide ribosomal RNA is filed under the name uncultured bacterium. RNAcentral describes it as "bacterial SSU rRNA". It matches the Rfam family "Bacterial small subunit ribosomal RNA", at positions 355 to 774 of the family's 1533-position model. The record is from RNAcentral.